Molecule: ribosomal RNA, 497 nt
Filed under: uncultured bacterium
Lineage: Bacteria
Description: partial 16S ribosomal RNA
Rfam family: Bacterial small subunit ribosomal RNA
Source: RNAcentral
GAUGAACGCUGGCGGCGUGCCUAAUACAUGCAAGUCGAGCGAACAGAUGAGGAGCUUGCUCCUCUGACGUUAGCGGCGGACGGGUGAGUAACACGUGGAUAACCUACCUAUAAGACUGGGAUAACUUCGGGAAACCGGAGCUAAUACCGGAUAAUAUAUUGAACCGCAUGGUUCAAUAGUGAAAGACGGUUUUGCUGUCACUUAUAGAUGGAUCCGCGCCGCAUUAGCUAGUUGGUAAGGUAACGGCCUACCAAGGCAACGAUGCGUAGCCGACCUGAGAGGGUGAUCGGCCACACUGGAACUGAGACACGGUCCAGACUCCUACGGGAGGCAGCAGUAGGGAAUCGGCCGCAAUGGGCGAAAGCCUGACGGAGCAACGCCGCGUGAGUGAUGAAGGUCUUCGGAUCGUAAAACUCUGUUAUUAGGGAAGAACAAAUGUGUAAGUAACUAUGCACGUCUUGACGGUACCUAAUCAGAAAGCCACGGCUAACUACGUG